GGUCCCUUUGAUUCCAUCACCCCGGUUCAUAGGAUAACUGUGGCAUUUCCGAACCUAAUACUGGCAACAAAGCGCCGAUGGGCUUCCCCGCCGGGUGUCGGCCCGGGAGGGGCCCAGAUAUCAGCUCCAAUAAGCUUCAAAAGGCGCCUGGCGCUUCGUUCCCGGUUUCUUUUUGGACUCUCUAUAACCUCUCGGCUGAUAUCGCACUUCUCCUGGCGCGACGAGUCAUUCGAAUGUCUGCCCCAUCAACUGUUGAUGGUACUUUAGGCGACUACCACGGUGACGACGGGUGGUAAGGAAUAAUGGUGCUUUUCUUGAGAAGAAGCCUGAUAAAAAGCUACCACAUCCUCCGAGGGAGGCCAAGGAAGGCAGCAGGCGCGCAAAUUACCCAUUUCCGACUCGGAGAGGUAGUGACGAAAAAUAACAAUACAGGUCUCUUUCGAGGCCCUGUAAUUGGAAUGAGCGUAUCCUAAACCCAUGGGCGAGGACCCAUUGGAGGGCAAGUCUGGUGCCAGCAGCCGCGGUAAUUCCAGCUCCAAUAGCGUAUAUUAAAGUUGCUGCAGUUAAAAAGCUCGUAGUUGGAUCUCGGGAGUGGGCUGGCGGUCCGCCGCGAGGCGAGCCACCGCCUGUCCCGGACCCUGCCUACCGGCGCCCCCCGGAUGCCCUUGACUGGGUGUCCGGCUCAGGGGCCCGGAGCGUUUACUUUGAAAAAAUUAGAGUGUUCAAAGCAGGCCGCUCGUCGCCGCUGAAUACCGCAGCUAGGAAUAAUGGAAUAGGACUCCGGUUCUAUUUUGUGGGUUUCUGGAACCCGGGGCCAUGAUUAAAAGGGACGGCCGGGGGCAUUCGUAUUGCGCCGCUAGAGGUGAAAUUCUUGGACCGGCGGAAAGCAUUUGCCAAGAAUGUUUUCUUUAAUCAAGAACGAAAGUCGGAGGUUCGAAGACGAUCAGAUACCGUCGUAGUUCCGACCGUAAACGAUGCCGACCCGCAAUCCGGCGGCGUUAUUCCCAUGACCCGCCGAGCAGCGUGAGGGAAACCAAGAGUCUUUGGGUUCCGGGGGGAGUAUGGUUGCAAAGCUGAAACUUAAAGGAAUUGACGGAAGGGCACCACCAGGAGUGGAGCCUGCGGCUUAAUUUGACUCAACACGGGAAACCUCACCCGGCCCGGACACGGAAAGGAUUGACAGAUUGAUAGCUCUUUCUCGAUUCUGUGGGUGGUGGUGCAUGGCCGUUCUUAGUUGGUGGAGCGAUUUGUCUGGUUCAUUCCGAUAACGAACGAGACUCCGGCUUGCUAAAUAGUUACGCGGCCCCGUGCGGUCGGCGUUCAACUUCUUAGAAGGACAAGUGGCGUUCAGCCAGUUCAACUUUUUAGAGGUAUAAGGAACUUGUAAGUCACACGAGAUGAGAGCUACCACAGUCUCUGUGAUGCCCUUAUAUGUCCGGCUCUGCACGCGUGUUACUGUGGCGGGAUCAGCGUGUGUUUACCUGGGGCGAAGAGGUCGGGGUAACCGGUUGAACCCCGUCCGAGACUGAGAUUGGAGUUUGAAAUUUUUCCCCACGAACGAAGAAUUCCUUGUAGGCGCGGGUCACAAUCCCGCAUAUUAUGGGUCCCUGCCCUUUGUACACACCCCCCGUCGAUACUGCCGAUGGAUGUCUCGGUGAGGUCCAUGGACCGGUUCCCGUCCGGAGAGGGUGUGGCCCGGACAGAGACCCUGGAAAAGGAACCGACUCGUGCUACCUAAAGAAAUUAAAAUCCUAAACAAGG
This 1761-nucleotide ribosomal RNA is filed under the name Pethia ticto (Ticto barb). Its description in RNAcentral is "SSU rRNA". It matches the Rfam family "Eukaryotic small subunit ribosomal RNA". The record is from RNAcentral. Lineage: Eukaryota; Metazoa; Chordata; Actinopteri; Cypriniformes; Cyprinidae.